AGAAUAUCAUAUAUUGGUUCUUAGGAAAGUUAUUCGAUGUAUAAUAAGGAAAGAAUAAACUUUGGGCCUCAUUCAAGGUUCUUGGAGAAAUCAUUCAUUAUUUUUUCUUUAUUUUAUAAUAUGUUCGAAUUCUAGUGGAUUGAGUUUCGAGAAAACGAAAUUCUUUGAAGGGGAUAAGAUUAUUACACCCCACUCAUUUUUGGUCAAAGUGACACCCAUUUUUAGUCAAAGUCAAGCAAAGUAAUUGGUCAAAGUCAAAAUCAAUAAGGACUUAAGUUGAACAAAUAAUUUUUAUGGGGCUUAAUUUCUAAUAACAAGUACUUAAGGGCCAAAAGUGUGUGUGUGUAUAUAUAUAUAUAUAUAUAUAUAUAUAUAUAUAUUAGGGAUAUGUUUUCUAUUUAUUGGAAUAAAAGGAGUAAAUGGUAUAUUAUAUGAAGGAUGGGGACUUUAGUUGCAAUUUUAUAAUGGUUAUCCAUUAACUUAAAGGAUAAUUGAUCUCUUUUUUGUCAUUUUGGGGGAGAAAAACCGAAUGGAGAAGCAAAGAACAAAACCACGGAAGGAAAAGGAAGAAAAUGGAAGAGAAAAAGAAAAAGAAGGAAGGGAUAGGUUCCAAUUUUACAAGGCUAGGUUCUCAAUUUCUCAUUUUCUCCCCUUAAUUUAGAGAGGUAAGUAUAAGAAUGUGAAAUUAUCUCCUUUAGGGUCUAUGAAACUUAUCUCUAAAACUUUGAAGUUAGCAAGAAUUAGGUGUUAUUGAUGUGUAUUCAAGGUUUUAAUUAAGAAUAUAGCAAGGAAAUAUUUAUUUGAAAAUUGAAGUUGAAGAAAGUAGAAUUUUGGAAAUGGGUUGUGAGAUGAAAGAUAUAUUCUUUGAGUUUCUUGUGAUUAUAUGAUGCUAAACACUCAAAUUAAGGAUUUGAGAUUUGAAUUCUCCAUUAUUUUAAAGCAAUUUUCAAGCUAUUAUAGUACAAGUGUUAAUUCUGAAAUUCUACCCAAAAAUGUCAAUGGUUUCGAUGCCAGAUUUCAAUAUAUAGAAAUUGGUGCUAGAUUUCUAUAUUCUGGAAUUUUAGUGCUGUUUUGUCAAACCUUGGAUUUCUAGAUUUUUAAAGUUUUGAAUGAAUUUAUAUGACAAAUUUUGAAGUCUAUGUAUUGGACUAAAUAUGUACAGCUGUUGUAUAUGUAUAAAGGUAGUGAUUUUAAGGAAGUGUGAGUGGUGUAAUGAAUUUGAUAGUGUAUGGUGAUUAGUUGAUAAAUUAUUAAAGAGAAGAAAAGUUGGGGAAUUGGAGAUAUAAGAGUAAGUAUAGAAGUUGAGAUGUUAAGUGGUGGAUUUGCAUUACUAUAAUUGUUAAGUUUUAAGAAAUUAUACGUUAUUUCAGGUAGGGAUGUGAAAGUUUAGAAAGGUUCUUUAAUUUAAUCAAAUUUCUAUCCAUAGAUCUGUGAGUGGAAAAACUUAAAUAAUUUCAAGGUAUUAUAAAUUAAGUAUAUUAUUAAGUUAUGUGAAUUAUUUGCUCAAUUAUAUGAUUACCAUAAAAGUUUCUUUUACCAUGAUACAUGUGGAAUUUCAAAGAUUGUAUAUGCUAAAGUUUGUGAUUUGGAAUAUGAGAUGUAAUAUUGAGAUCGAUCAAAAAAGUACCAGUGAUUAUAUACUUCUUCUAGUUCACGGAUGACUACCAGAGGUCUUGAGACCAACUUUCGUUCACGGAGAGGGCCAAAGACCCAUGGUGAAAGUUCUUAGCCCGAGUGACGGAUUUCAGAUUAUUUAGAGGGUACAUUUUUUGCGGAUCACAUGUAAUGUGAUGAGAUCUCGGGGUUUUUUUUUUAGAUUUUAGUUAGAGAGCACAUUUUUGGCGGAUCAUAUGUGAUGUGAUGAGAUGAUAUUUACAGAGUUAUGAGAAUGUCUCUUUUUUGGUAUAAUUGUAUGAGGUUAUCGUGUGAAUUACUAAACGAUAUGAACUUGAUGUCUACAUAUGAGAAAAAUGUUUAAGUGAGAAAGUAUAAUUAUUUUCAAACUCUUCCAUUCAUUGAGUUAUAAAUUCCUAUUUUUUCCAAAUUUUUCUUACAGGUAGUAUUGUCCCUGUUAGCUUGAGGACGCUGGUGGCAUUAGAAUUAGAGCCACAUGACAUAUUGAGUUAUAUGAUUCAUUUUGGUAAAACAUGAAAUAAUUAUUUUUUUUGGGACCCAUUGCAUUAUAUUUUGCAUAAAUAUUUGAUUUUGGCGGACAUUUUGUAGUAAGUCAUAGUCAGCCUUGGUGGUGGAUCUAGCCUCUAGUCAACAUCUAUCGUCGGCACACAUCACAUUCCUAGUCCAUUAGACUGAUACGGGAUGGGUCAUGUCAAUUUACAAGAGGCAAUGAACGAAUGUUUGACAUUAUUCUUAGCUAGUGGUGAAUAGCUUAGUAUAGUGAAAAGUGUUCACUUAUAUCUCCAACUAGGUAAAA
Molecule: long non-coding RNA, 2431 nt
Filed under: Olea europaea subsp. europaea
Lineage: Eukaryota; Viridiplantae; Streptophyta; Magnoliopsida; Lamiales; Oleaceae
Source: RNAcentral